CUUCUGUAGGGUGAACCUGCGGAGGGUUCA
RNAcentral lists this ribosomal RNA (30 nucleotides) under Trichoderma asperellum. RNAcentral describes it as "partial 18S ribosomal RNA". Lineage: Eukaryota; Fungi; Ascomycota; Sordariomycetes; Hypocreales; Hypocreaceae. The record is from RNAcentral.